Molecule: transfer RNA, 71 nt
Filed under: Sphaerodactylus townsendi
Lineage: Eukaryota; Metazoa; Chordata; Lepidosauria; Squamata; Sphaerodactylidae
Description: tRNA-Ala
Source: RNAcentral
GGGCCAUGACUCAGUGGUAGAGGAUUGACUUGGCAUGCAGAAGGUCUCGGGUUCGAUCCCUGGCAUGCCCA